Thunnus maccoyii (southern bluefin tuna) is the source of this 2423-nucleotide long non-coding RNA. RefSeq lists it as uncharacterized. The record is from RefSeq and is a predicted model, not a curated record. The transcript has 4 exons. NCBI's taxonomy places the organism in Eukaryota, Metazoa, Chordata, Actinopteri, Scombriformes, Scombridae.
UACAUUGUCAGUGACGCCAAACAUAUUUGCUUUUGCAAAUUAGUACCAUAUAAACAUAAAUUCUAUGGAAACAAGGUGGUGAAGGUAGGGUGAGCAUGCAUGCUCAUUUUCAACACAACCUUCCUCAUCAUUUAUUCAGGUGAACUGUACAGUAGAUGUUCACACCUGGGAGCUGCCCAACCACUGCCACUGCUGGCGUGUGAACACUUAAUAAGGGUUCAGAGAGCAUUACUCAUUCCCUUUCCCUGGCCAAACCUUCCCAGCUGCUUCAGGAAAUCAAACCGGCACCUUCUUGAUCAUAAACUUGCUUUUGUUACCUGCCUGCUUGUUUCAUAUGCUGUAUGAUCCUGCUUAUGUUUGAACCUCUGACUUCUUAAAAACAAGCUCUGGGCUUAGUACUGGUGCACUGGUGACACGUGUCCACUUACAACAUGUCAGCAGUGUCUUCAAGUUCAUGUUCAAAACUUUACUGGCAUGUCAGCCAAGUUGAUAGGAAGGUGCAGACCUAGUCAGUCGCCUCUCCGGCGAGUACAGAGGCUGCCCUGUCAGAUCUUUGCAAAGACUUGAACUGCUCACAGACUACUGUGCUCAUUGUUGCUGGAGACUUCAAUCAGGCUAACCUUAAGAAGGUUAUGCCUGACUUUCAUUGACUUAUUGAUUGUGCCACAAGGGGAAUAAACACUCUGGAUCACUGCUACACGGCAUUCAAAAAUGGCUACAGAGCGGAAUUGCUACCUGUGUUCAGGAAGAGCGACCAUGCAGCCAUCUUGCUGAGGUCAAAAUAUCAGAGCCAAUCAGAGGCUGCCCUGCAGGGUGCACUACAUAACGCAAUCUGGAAGACCAUCAUCGAUGUCACAGAGUGGUGGCUGUGGUGGAUUUAAUUUGUGAAACAACACACACAACUGUACCCAAAACUACAGUAAAAUAAUUCCACAACCAGAAACCAUGGAUUACCAGAACCAUGCGGGAUGCCAUCCCUCUCCUUGCUGAUGCAUCUCUAGCAAAUGAGCACAACUUUUAUGCUUGUUUUGAGGCCAUCGGCAGCCAGCAAGCAAAAACAGCUCAAGCAGAGGUUAAUGGAUAGGUGGGUGCACCUUUCACACCUAUCACCCUUUUUGAGCAUGACAUCAGGAGGGCUUUCAAGCGUGUGAACACAAGAAAGCAGCAGGACCAGACAGUAUCAGUGGGCGGGUCCUCAAACUAUGUGCUGACCAACUAGCGCUGGUGUUCACAAUGGCAUGCAACCUGUCCCUGACUCAAUCUGUCAUACCCAUGUGCUUCAAGAAGUCCACAAUCAUUCCUGUGCCCGAGAAAACAAGACCAGUCUGCCUGAACAACUACCGCCCAGCGUCACUCACCUCUAUAGUGAUGAAGUGCUUUGAACGACUGGUCAAGGAUUACAUCUGCUCCUCACUACCUAGCACACUGGAUCCACUACAGUUUGCCUACCGUCCCAACCAAUCAAUGGAAGAUGCCAUAGUACACAUCCUCCACAUCACCUUAUCUCACCUGGACAAAAAAGGGAGCUAUGUGAGAUUACUGUUCAUUGACUAUAGUUGAGCAUUUAACACCACAGUUCCUUCCAGGCUCGUCAUCAAGCUCAAGGACUGAGAGGGGUCUUCCUGCAGGGCUCCUCUGUGGAGUCUCUUCUGAUGCAGGCUCCGCUUUCAAGUCAGCUCCACUGUCAGGACAGAAACCUUUCCCAGUCAAUAAAUCCUGGACCAUGGAAAGAGACAACUGGUUUGGAAAUAGAGAUGGACAUGUCAGCUUUGCGAAAAUGGUGGUGUGUUAUGCUAAUGGAGAACUUUGACUUUGGAAGGUGAGACCACAAAAAUUUUGACAUUUGAUUACACAGCACUGUCUCACUGUUUAUACUAUGGUACAUUUAUUUUUUCUUUGUGUAACCCUUUUUGUUUGAGCCAUGGCAAAAUGUUUGCCCAUUGGAUGUAGACAUCAAAAGCCCUCCUUCAAGAUGAGGUGCCACCAGUGUUCAGACUGAAAAAAAGGAAUUUGGAUGACAUCACUGAGGACAGAGUGGAGCCCAGGACCAUACAUGACUACAAAAAGGCAGCAGAAUGGUUUAAAGCAAACCAGCAUGUGUUUUCAGCCCAAGUGGAGUUGCCCAGUGUACUGAUAAUGGGGGAAGAGGAAUUGGCAGAGGCUGCACAGCUGUAUGGAAAAUUUUGGGUUGAGGAAACAUGAGGGCCUGGACAACCAUGAGAGCCAUCUUGGAGAGAUUCAAGUUUGUAUUUUACAACGUUGAAGACAUGUGGGAGUUUGUGAAGAAAUUAAAGAUAGCCAGUGGUAUUUGUUGUACUGUGAAUGGUGGAUGGACAACAACUAAUGACUCUGAAUACAAGUAGUAGCACACCACUAUUGUUGUGAUAUGUUGUGUUUGCUGAAUAAAGGGCAACAGAAUGUUU